GAUGAACGCUAGCGGCGUGCCUAACACAUGCAAGUCGAACGUGAAGAUGACUUCGGUCAUCUGAAAGUGGCGGACGGGUGAGUAACACGUAGGUGACCUGCCUUUGAGUGGGGGAUAACCAUUAGAAAUGAUGGCUAAUACCGCAUGGGUUGGUGAUGUAGGGAUACAUUGCCAAUAAAGCUCAGGUGCUCGGAGAGGGGCCUACGUCCGAUUAGGUAGUUGGUGGGGUAAUGGCCUACCAAGCCGAUGAUCGGUAGCUGGUCUGAGAGGACGAUCAGCCACACGGGAACUGAGACACGGUCCCGACUCCUACGGGGGGCAGCAGUGAGGAAUAUUCGGCAAUGGGGGCAACCCUGACCGAGCAACGCCGCGUGGAGGAUGACGGUUUUUGGAUUGUAAACUCCUUUUCUGUGGGAAGAGCAAGGACGGUACCACAGG
Molecule: ribosomal RNA, 438 nt
Filed under: uncultured bacterium
Lineage: Bacteria
Description: bacterial SSU rRNA
Rfam family: Bacterial small subunit ribosomal RNA
Source: RNAcentral